Molecule: ribosomal RNA, 222 nt
Filed under: uncultured bacterium
Lineage: Bacteria
Description: partial 16S ribosomal RNA
Rfam family: Bacterial small subunit ribosomal RNA
Source: RNAcentral
AGUAAUGUAUGGGGAUCUGCCCGAUAGGGGGGGAUAACUACUGGAAACGGUGGCUAAUACCGCAUAAUGUCUACGGACCAAAGCAGGGGCUCUUCGGACCUUGCACUAUCGGAUGAACCCAUAUGGGAUUAGCUAGUAGGUGGGGUAAAGGCUCACCUAGGCGACGAUCUCUAGCUGGUCUGAGAGGAUGAUCAGCCACACUGGGACUGAGACACGGCCCAG